Molecule: transfer RNA, 73 nt
Organism: Neotoma lepida (desert woodrat)
Lineage: Eukaryota; Metazoa; Chordata; Mammalia; Rodentia; Cricetidae
Rfam family: tRNA
About the family: Transfer RNA (tRNA) molecules are approximately 80 nucleotides in length. Their secondary structure includes four short double-helical elements and three loops (D, anti-codon, and T loops).
Source: Rfam
AGACAGAUGGCUCAGCAGUUAAGAGCACUGACGGAUGUUCCAGAGGACCCGGGUUCAAUUCCCAGGCUGUCCA